CAGCCGCCGCGGGAAUACGGAGGGUGCAAGCGUUAUCCGGAUUUAUUGGGUUUAAAGGGUCCGUAGGCGGACUUAUAAGUCAGUGGUGAAAGCCUGUCGCUUAACGAUAGAACUGCCAUUGAUACUGUAAGUCUUGAGUAUAUUUGAGGUAGCUGGAAUAAGUAGUGUAGCGGUGAAAUGCAUAGAUAUUACUUAGAACACCAAUUGCGAAGGCAGGUUACCAAGAUAUAACUGACGCUAAGGGACGAAAGCGUGGGUAGCGAACAGGAUUAGAUACCCCGGUAGUCCCUGUCUCUUAUAC
RNAcentral lists this ribosomal RNA (301 nucleotides) under uncultured bacterium. RNAcentral describes it as "partial 16S ribosomal RNA". It matches the Rfam family "Bacterial small subunit ribosomal RNA", at positions 509 to 807 of the family's 1533-position model. The record is from RNAcentral.